Non-coding RNA from Campylobacter rectus RM3267, 75 nucleotides. Lineage: Bacteria; Pseudomonadati; Campylobacterota; Epsilonproteobacteria; Campylobacterales; Campylobacteraceae. The record is from Rfam.
CGGGGUGUAGCGCAGGCUGGUUAGCGCAUCUGGUUUGGGACCAGAGGGCCGAAGGUUCGAAUCCUUUCACCCCGA